UCUUUGCCGCUCUCGGAUUGGACACUCACACCAGGCCUGGCCCCGGAUUCGGAAACGCUCCUGAGUGCUCCCUGGCCUUCGUUCGGGAUUGGCCGAGGACCUCGCGCUCGCUGUCUUUCUUAGCCUCUCAUUGGCUCCCGACAAGAACUUUUUCUGCCUUGGCUUCUAAUUGGUGGCUUUCGCCUGCACCUUCCACGGGUCUGGAAUGGCUGCCCCUUUCGGUAGCACGGACUCUGCGCCUCCUGAUUGGCCAAGGGAUGCGCGCACUCUGCGCGUUCCUUCGUCGAACGUGGCAGUGGGGAGGAGUUCCCAGUUUAGGGGCGGAGCUGCGGCUGCGCUUCCGAAACCCCUCGUGUUGCAUUCUGACUGGACCGCGUACCCAACUGGCACGCCCCCCGGCCCCCGGACCGGAAGUUGGGGUGACGCAAUUUCCGGCGCGCGUGUCAAGCGUGCGGCGGCGGCCGUGGAAGGUGGGGUUGGCCGCCUAGGGUCGGCGGUGGGCUCGGUGUGGGAUAGCCGGCCCGGUCCGACGCGCUCCGCGAGGUCACGCGAGACACUCACCGAGGCAUGGCGGCAGGGCCUGGGCAUGGGAAUCGUGCGCACAGUGCGAGGAAGCCUCGGAGGGGAUACGAGCACAGGGCGGGUGGUUAGGAGAAUGGGGCUGGAGAGACGGGCGGGAGGGGCGGGACCUGGGCCCCGGGGACCUGCCGGCUCCCAGGCCCCAGGAAGACGCUGCUCAUGCGUGGAGCGGCCGCAGGAAAGGUACUCCCCGCUAAGGCCUUCAGGGAGCGGCCCUUUGCCCUGUGCGAUCUCUUCCUUCCUUUCCCACGGGUUGCCAAAUCCUGUGACGCUGCCCCUUCUCUGGUGCUUCUCAGAUGCUCUGGUCGGCUCAGGAGACCUCGCAGCUGUUACACAGCUGUGGAAAUACCCUGGGCGCUGCUUCACUCCGAAGGCAGCAGCUGGGUUUGCCUCCCGACUCGACCCGCCACCGAGGCUCCUGAGCACUUGAAAUAUGGCCAGUCCACCUGAGACGGGCUGUGAGUGCGCAAUGCACAUCAAACUUCUAAGACUGAGUGUGCGGGGCCGAGUGCGGUGGCUCACGCCUGUAAUCCCAGCACUUUGGAAGGCCGAGGCGGGCGGAUCACGAGGUCAGGAGUUCGAGACCAGCCUGAUCAACAUGGUGAAACCCCCUCACCUCCCGUCUCUACUAAAAAUACAAAAAUUAACAGGGCCUGGUGGCGCGCGCCUGUAAUCCCAGCUACUCGGGAGGCUGAGGCAAGAGAAUCGCUUGAACCCAGGAGGCAGAGGUUGCAGUGAGCCGAGAUCGCGCCAUUGCACUCCAGCCUGGGCAACAGAGCGAGACUCCAUCUCAAAAAAAAAAAAAAAAAAGUGUGCGUGUAGGGGCUGGAGGACAGAAGGUACAGUAUUUCGUUAAUAACUUUACAUUGACUACUACAUGUUGAAAUAUUCUGUAUGCAUAUGUUGGAUUACAUAAUAAUAUUGAGGCCAGGUGCUGUGUGGCUCACUCCUGUAAUCCCACCACUUUUGGAGACCGAGGCAGGAGGAUCCCUUCAGCCCAGGAGUUCGAGACCAGCCUGGGCAACAUAGUGAGACUCCCGUCUCUACAAAAAAUAAAUUAAAAAAAUUAGCCAGGCACGGUGGUGUGCACCUGUGGUCCCAGCUACUUGGGAGGUGGAGGUGGGAGAAUCAUUUGAGCCCAGGAGGCUGAGGCUGCGGUGAGCCAUGAUCCCACCACUGCACUCCAGCCUGGGCGACAGAUCGACACCCUAUCUCAAAAAAUAGUAAAAAAAUGUCCUUUUUUUAAAAUUUUU
RNAcentral lists this long non-coding RNA (1832 nucleotides) under Homo sapiens (human). Its description in RNAcentral is "non-protein coding lnc-ANAPC11-7:1". The record is from RNAcentral. Lineage: Eukaryota; Metazoa; Chordata; Mammalia; Primates; Hominidae.